Molecule: ribosomal RNA, 250 nt
Filed under: uncultured bacterium
Lineage: Bacteria
Description: partial 16S ribosomal RNA
Rfam family: Bacterial small subunit ribosomal RNA
Source: RNAcentral
CACGUAGGGGGCGAGCGUUGUCCGGAUUUAUUGGGCGUAAAGAGCUCGUAGGUGGCUCGGUAAGUCGGGUGUGAAAUUUCGAGGCUCAACCUCGAAACGCCACCCGAUACUGCUGUGGCUAGAGUCCGGUAGGGGAGCGUGGAAUUCCUGGUGUAGCGGUGAAAUGCGCAGAUAUCAGGAGGAACACCAGCGGCGAAGGCGGCGCUCUGGGCCGGUACUGACACUGAGGAGCGAAAGCGUGGGGAUCAAA